AUUUAUAUAGUUUAAAAUAAAACAUUACAUUUUCACUGUAAAAACAAUAAAUAAAUAUUUAUAAAUA
This 67-nucleotide transfer RNA is filed under the name Gastrimargus marmoratus. RNAcentral describes it as "tRNA-Glu". Lineage: Eukaryota; Metazoa; Arthropoda; Insecta; Orthoptera; Acrididae. The record is from RNAcentral.